UGAGCAACCUGCCCUUCUCAUCGGAAUAAGCGUUGGAAACGACGUCUAAUGCCGAAUACGACCUCCUUUCGCAUGAUCGGAGGUGGAAAGGUUUUCCGGCUGAGGAUGGGCCCGCGGCCUAUCAGCUAGUUGGUGGGGUGAUGGCCCACCAAGGCGACGACGGGUAGCCGGCCUGAGAGGGCGACCGGCCACACUGGGACUGAGACACGGCCCAGACUCCUACGGGAGGCAGCAGUGGGG
This 240-nucleotide ribosomal RNA is filed under the name uncultured bacterium. RNAcentral's name for it is "partial 16S ribosomal RNA". It matches the Rfam family "Bacterial small subunit ribosomal RNA", at positions 118 to 359 of the family's 1533-position model. The record is from RNAcentral.